This 553-nucleotide ribosomal RNA is filed under the name uncultured archaeon. Its description in RNAcentral is "bacterial SSU rRNA". It matches the Rfam family "Archaeal small subunit ribosomal RNA", at positions 326 to 879 of the family's 1478-position model. The record is from RNAcentral.
CGGGGUGCACCAGGCGCGAAAACUUUACAAUGCUGGCAACAGCGAUAAGGGGACCUCGAGUGCCAGGUUACAAAUCUGGCUGUCGUGAUGCCUAAAAAGCAUUGCAUAGCAAGGGCCGGGCAAGACCGGUGCCAGCCGCCGCGGUAACACCGGCGGCUCGAGUGGUAACCGUUAUUAUUGGGUCUAAAGGGUCUGUAGCCGGCCGGAUAAGUCUCUUGGGAAAUCCAGCAGCUCAACUGUUGGGCUUUCAGGAGAUACUGUCUGGCUCGAGGCCGGGAGAGGUGAGAGGUACUUCAGGGGUAGGGGUGAAAUCUUGUAAUCCUUGAAGGACCACCAGUGGCGAAGGCGUCUCACCAGAACGGACCUGACGGCAAGGGACGAAAGCUAGGGGCACGAACCGGAUUAGAUACCCGGGUAGUCCUAGCCGUAAACGAUACUCGCUAGGUGUCGGCCACGGUGCGACCGUUGUCGGUGCCGUAGGGAAGCCGUGAAGCGAGCCACCUGGGAAGUACGGCCGCAAGGCUGAAACUUAAAGGAAUUGGCGGGGGAGCAC